CCUCUACUUCUCUUCUUCUUCUCCCCACGCCCCACCGCCUCUCUCUGUUUCUCGAAAGAAACAGAGAGAGCGUGGGAGGCGGUGGGAUAAAACCGAAUUUUCGGUUUUCUUUAUUUUCUUCUUUUUACAACUUAACAGUUUAGUCCUUGAAAUUUCCAUAUUUACAUAUAGGUCCUCUGAUUUAUAAAUAAAUCUUUAUUAAUAAUUUUCAAAAGCGAGGGAUAUUACAC
This 230-nucleotide long non-coding RNA is filed under the name Musa acuminata (dwarf banana). Its description in RNAcentral is "long non-coding RNA (MACU_LNC010704)". Lineage: Eukaryota; Viridiplantae; Streptophyta; Magnoliopsida; Zingiberales; Musaceae. The record is from RNAcentral.